GAGACAAGCAUAUGACUACUGGCAGGAUCAACCAGGUAGCAUUCCUUCGCGACGCCGACGCCCGCAUGAGACCCGGCAGGCCGUAAGGCCGCGGGCUCAAGACGGGCACGGCAGUCGUUCGUGUCGAUGGACAAAUGCGUUGCUUGGGCAAACGGAGCUAWKAAAUAGACCCCGCACCCGCACAUAACAUUCUGCAUCCGARAGCACGGGCARUGCACCYCAUGGGCCGAGGCAGCGACGCAGCUGGGCGAAGCGUGCCGGGAACACGAGGCUUGCCUGAUGUCCACCCCAAAACCCGUGAGGGCAGGGGGCGGAAAKGGACUAACGAAACCAUCGGAUUCCUUUCGAUAGGUAAGCAACACAGGAUACCGAA
Molecule: unclassified non-coding RNA, 373 nt
Filed under: Bursera graveolens (incense tree)
Lineage: Eukaryota; Viridiplantae; Streptophyta; Magnoliopsida; Sapindales; Burseraceae
Description: partial external transcribed spacer
Source: RNAcentral